ACGGUGGCAGCACACGCUCCCUUUUUCGGUGCCGCAGGGGAAACGGGCUCCGGAGCUGCUGCUCCGCGCCCGGCUUCAGUCCUCCGUGGAAUGCUCCUCGGAGCGGUGCUUUUGGUUUUGCAAACGCCGCAGGCAUCACCUGCACACACAGAGCUCCUGCCCUCGCUUGGCCACCUGAAAUUCAGAGGGAGCUCUGCACACGGCCUCUCCGGUGCCCGAUCUCUGGAUCUCUCUCUAAGAGAUGGGGCUGUUCUCUGGAUAAAGCACGCCGGGGUUUGCUCUGUUGAAGAGCCCUUUUCUCCCUGGAUCUCCUCCUGGGCUGCAGCCAUCAGCCAAAACGGAAAGCACUGCUCAUCCUACCUCUUUUACCCCAGGUGCUGCUUUGCCCCCAGAUCAUUGAGGGAGGAGUUGUGGCUGCUGCCUGGGGUAUAAAGGCGCAGUGUUGCCGGGAGAGGCUCAUUCAGCUCUCGGGCUUCAGCGGGUUGAGUUCUCUGUGCUGUGCUUUGUGUUUUGUAGCUUUGGAGUCUUGCGGCGUUUUGUGCUGUUGUGCUGGGAUGUUUGCCGUAAUGGAAUCACCUGAGUGCGGAGCAUCAGGACCUCUCAAGGCUUCCCAGCAGCUCCCACCCGUAAGCACCAAAGAGUCCUCCUCAGCCUCGGGUCUGAGUCAGCUCCCCGGGCAUGGGGCAUUCUGUGCUGCAGGGAACAGAGCGUGCGGGCGACACGGGUCCUGCAUGGACACCUCGUUGCUGCUCUCGUCUGCGUGCGAUCAUCCAGGGUGAGACCAGGGGACAUACUAGGAAGACUGCUUGGGAUGCCUUCCGUCUUCUUCCUGCGUACCAGGAACUCUGUCAUCUGACGGUGAGUAAUACCUGUGUGC
This is a long non-coding RNA of Melopsittacus undulatus (budgerigar), 877 nucleotides long. RefSeq lists it as uncharacterized. The record is from RefSeq and is a predicted model, not a curated record. Lineage: Eukaryota; Metazoa; Chordata; Aves; Psittaciformes; Psittaculidae. The transcript is spliced from 3 exons.